RNAcentral lists this ribosomal RNA (500 nucleotides) under uncultured bacterium. RNAcentral's name for it is "partial 16S ribosomal RNA". It matches the Rfam family "Bacterial small subunit ribosomal RNA", at positions 29 to 523 of the family's 1533-position model. The record is from RNAcentral.
AUUGAACGCUGGCGGAAUGCUUUACACAUGCAAGUCGAACGGCAACACGGGGGCAACCCUGGUGGCGAGUGGCGAACGGGUGAGUAAUACAUCGGAACGUGCCCAGUCGUGGGGGAUAACGUAGCGAAAGUUACGCUAAUACCGCAUACGAUCUACGGAUGAAAGCGGGGGACCGUAAGGCCUCGCGCGAUUGGAGCGGCCGAUGUCAGAUUAGGUAGUUGGUGAGGGAAAGGCUCACCAAGCCGACGAGCUGUAGCUGGACUGAGAGGACGACCAGCCACACUGGGACUGAGACACGGCCCAGACUCCUACGGGAGGCAGCAGUGGGGAAUUUUGGACAAUGGGCGCAAGCCUGAUCCAGCCAUUCCGCGUGCAGGACGAAGGCCUUCGGGUUGUAAACUGCUUUUGUACGGAACGAAAAGGCUCUGGUUAAUACCUGGGGCUCAUGACGGUACCGUAAGAAUAAGCACCGGCUAACUACGUGCCAGCCGCCGCAGUAA